RNAcentral lists this ribosomal RNA (274 nucleotides) under uncultured bacterium. RNAcentral's name for it is "partial 16S ribosomal RNA". It matches the Rfam family "Bacterial small subunit ribosomal RNA", at positions 523 to 796 of the family's 1533-position model. The record is from RNAcentral.
AUACGGAGGGUCCAAGCGUUAUCCGGAAUCAUUGGGUUUAAAGGGUUCGCAGGCGGUUCAUUAAGUCAGUGGUGAAAUCUCUCGGCUCAACCGAGAAACUGCCAUUGAUACUGAUGGACUUGAAUAUAGUUGGAGUAGGCGGAAUGUGUAGUGUAGCGGUGAAAUGCUUAGAUAUUACACAGAACACCGAUAGCGAAGGCAGCUUACUAAACUAUUAUUGACGCUCAUGAACGAAAGCGUGGGGAGCGAACAGGAUUAGAUACCCUAGUAGUCC